Molecule: long non-coding RNA, 335 nt
Organism: Cucurbita moschata (crookneck pumpkin)
Lineage: Eukaryota; Viridiplantae; Streptophyta; Magnoliopsida; Cucurbitales; Cucurbitaceae
Exons: 2
Source: RefSeq, a predicted model, not a curated record
GACGACGACCCCGUCGGCUAGCAUCUUUAACUCGGCCACCAAGCACCUCGACAUCAACUGAAGCAUGAUCCAGAGCAACAAUCUGCCUGUAAAAAGCACCAAAGUCAUCUCAAUUUCUAAGCCAUUUCCUUGAGCUCUUCCAAGAUAUUGCUCAUGUCAGAUAGUGCAUCAUCUUGCUUCACCUUUUCUUCCUGUGUGAUGUAUGAUUUUGAAACACAAAGCUUAUGUAAGGUGAAUGAUACUGCAUUUUGGAAACCAUGGAUAUAUUUUUAUCAUGGUACACAUUUGUGCAGUAAUGAUUUACAGAUAGCAAAUACAAACCUCAACUUUUUGAA